AACAAACGCUGGCGGCGUGCCUAACACAUGCAAGUCGAACGAGAAACCUUGGGCAACUGAGGGAGUAAAGUGGCGCACGGGUGAGUAACGCGUGGGUAACCUGCCCUUGAAUUGGGGAUAACUUCCCGAAAGGGGAGUUAAUACCGAAUAACAUCCCGACUUCUCCGGGAGUUGGAAUCAAAGGUGGCCUCUGCAUGCAAGCUACUGUUUAAAGGAUGGGCCCGCGUACCAUUAGCUUGUUGGUAGGGUAACGGCCUACCAAGGCAACGAUGGUUAGCUGGUCUGAGAGGAUGGCCAGCCACACUGGAACUGAGACACGGUCCAGACUCCUACGGGAGGCUG
This 342-nucleotide ribosomal RNA is filed under the name uncultured Pseudomonadota bacterium. Its description in RNAcentral is "bacterial SSU rRNA". It matches the Rfam family "Bacterial small subunit ribosomal RNA", at positions 29 to 351 of the family's 1533-position model. The record is from RNAcentral. Lineage: Bacteria; Pseudomonadati; Pseudomonadota.